UACGGGGGGGGCAAGCGUUGUUCGGAAUUACUGGGCGUAAAGCGCACGUAGGCGGAUUGUUAAGUCGGGGGUGAAAUCCUGGAGCUCAACUCCAGAAUUGCCUUCGAUACUGGCUUUCUAGAGGCUGGAAGAGGUUAGUGGAAUUCCCAGUGUAGAGGUGAAAUUCGUAGAUAUUGGGAAGAACACCAGUGGCGAAGGCGGCUAACUGGUCCAGAUCUGACGCUGAGGUGCGAAAGCGUGGGGAGCAAACAGG
This 253-nucleotide ribosomal RNA is filed under the name uncultured bacterium. RNAcentral describes it as "partial 16S ribosomal RNA". It matches the Rfam family "Bacterial small subunit ribosomal RNA", at positions 524 to 776 of the family's 1533-position model. The record is from RNAcentral.